GCUACCAGGUACCGUGAGCAAUCACUGGAGCUGGAACACUGCUGCCUGAGGAAGAGAAGAAGUGCAGGCUUGUCAUUGUCUAUGCUGUUACUUGUGGUUCCCGGGUCUUCAGAGAGGAUGCACAAGAACGGGAGAACCGGCCCCUGGGAUUUGCUGCUCAGGACCCGAGUUCACUGAGACAUCAGGAGCAAGCACUGGAGGCCGGUGCUGCUGGACCCAGAUGGGCGCCAUGCAGGACUUGACCAUGGCCUGCACACACUUCUUCCCAGGAGAAGGGGAGUGAGGAAGGUGGGGGCCUCAAGGCUUCCUUUCCUCUCUUUUUGGCUUGUUAUGCUUUUAUAUUUCUUUUUAUCCAUAUGAUUAUUUAGUACAAAAGCAGGUCCAGCCUCCUUACAUAUGGCAUUGAUAUAAAAUGCAAAACAGAAGCUAAAUUCUAGGAAUACAGCAUUGCAAGCUUCUGACACAGACAAGGAAGGCUAGAACUGCACAGUUAGUGGACACUACCUCUGUAUUGACAUUUUUUUCAGUCUGUGAAGGCGGGGACAGAGAGCUGCAGCCAGGACACCUUCCCUGCUCUGGGGCAACACUGCCAUCAUGGGAAAAUGUUUUCUGUAGACCAGCUGANGCACACACCCCUCCUCCAUCCUGCUUCUCCUCAGCCAUUUUGAAGCANGGAGGAUGAGGGGGAUUCAUGAAUGGCGAAGCUUGCCCAUCUUACUGUAUUUCUCUCCUACUGUGGGCAGACUGGCAUCACCCGACCCUUCAGAGUAUUAAUGCAGACCUUCGUGACAGAGGUCCAGUACCAAGUGCGCAGCUGUGCUGAGGUCCAGGGACAGAAAGCAGAUGGGCAGAUUCAACCCCCCUCAGCUGGCCAUGCUAAUCUACUAGCUGGUGUCYUAGGGCAGCAGGGUGCCUCCCUCNNCAGGUUCUGAUGAGAAAACACUGCAGUCCCAGUUUCUUUCGGGGCUUGAAGAGAAGUCAAGGAAGCCCUGCAAGGCACUCACAGCUGAUCAUGCUGUCUGUAAUUGGCUGCCAUCUUCUGCCAUUGCUAGGAAUCAUGGGAAGGAGGACAUGUGGUGCUGUGACUUCUGAAACUAUUUUCCUCAUGAUGGCAGUUGUGCUCCACAAAAGAUCUUUUGAUUGUUUCCCCCCCCUCCCCGCUUCCUGUGUGAAAAAUUAUCAAGGAGAAUAUAGGUACCAAGGAAGAUUGGUUCGGUGAACUUUGCCUGUCCUCGAAUCGGUUCAGGGAUGGUUUGUUUUGUUUUUUGUUUUUGUUUUUUUGUUUUCUUGUUUUCCUUCUGAAGUCAUUCUGAGUCCUCAUUCUACCCUAGGUUGUAGGCCAUUUCCUUUUCUACAGCUGUUCAUACUCACCCUUUUUAGCUACUUAAUUUUGCUCUUGAUUGUCUAGUCUUAUUCAUUGGUUACAAUUUUCACACAGGAAAGGUAGUCUAGGAGCUUCGAAAGGAAAGCUUUUUUCAUGCAGGGUGAUUGGUAUUGCUGAGGGCUAACAACCCUUGCCUACCGUAUCCUAGAGCCUGGGUUUGCUCCCCAGGACUGAAAUGGGCACUGUUACC
This 1574-nucleotide small RNA is filed under the name Mus musculus (house mouse). RNAcentral describes it as "mFirre_2". Lineage: Eukaryota; Metazoa; Chordata; Mammalia; Rodentia; Muridae. The record is from RNAcentral.